This 1086-nucleotide ribosomal RNA is filed under the name Triticum aestivum (bread wheat). RNAcentral's name for it is "partial small subunit ribosomal RNA". Lineage: Eukaryota; Viridiplantae; Streptophyta; Magnoliopsida; Poales; Poaceae. The record is from RNAcentral.
AUGGGGAUCUGCGCGUCAUCGGAGCACCUCGCCCAGCAGGGGCAGGAGGCGGACGAGAGCAUCGUCUAUGUCAUGGACGAGGAAGGAGGAGGCGGCGCGUCGUCGCCGAGGAAGGUGGCCUCCCUCUUCUCCCAGAAGGGCAAGAAAGGCCCCAACCAGGACGCCGUCAUCCUCUGCCAGGGAUUCGGCAUGGAGGGCGGCGUGUUCUGCGGCGUGUUCGACGGCCACGGCAGGUGCGGCCACUUGGUGAGCAAGCUGGUGAGGGACUACCUCCCCUUCAUGGUCCUGAGCCACCGGAACGCGCUGCUCCUGGCGGACGCGGACGCGGACGCCGACGACCCCGUGUUCAGCGACGCCUCGCCGUCGUCCUCCGCGGACAGCAGCGGCAACUCGUCGCCGCACCCGUCGCAGAUGCUGGGGGAGUGGAGGGAGGCCUGCACCAAUGCGUUCAAGGCCAUGGACAACGAGCUCAAGCUGCAGGCCAACAUGGACUGCAACUUCAGCGGCACCACGGCAGUGUGUGCCAUCAAGCAGGGCAAGGAUCUGAUCAUUGCCAACCUCGGAGACUCGAGGGCGGUUCUUGCGACCAUGUCUGGGGCCGGCUACCUCAAGGCCGUACAGCUCACCACCGACCAGAAGCCCGGCCUGCCUGAGGAGGCGGAGAGGAUCAAGAGGUGCGAGGGGCGCGUGUUCGCGCUGAGGGAGGAGCCGGGCGUGAUGCGGGUGUGGCUGCCCGGCGAGAACCUCCCGGGGCUGGCCAUGGCGCGCGCGCUGGGGGACUCGAGGCUGAAGCACCACGGGGUCAUCUCGACGCCGCAGGUGACGGGGCACCGGAUAGGCGACGCGGACCUGUUCAUCAUCCUGGCCACGGACGGGGUGUGGGACGUGCUGAGCAACGAGGAGGUGGUGUCCAUCGUGUGCGCCACGCCGCGGAAGCAGCACGCGUCCAAGGCCGUGGUGGAGGCGGCGGUGCAGAGGUGGAAGACCAAGUACCCGUCCUCACGGGUGGACGACUGCUCCGCGGUCUGCCUCUUCCUGCACGACCACGGCGCGUCGGCGCCGCAGCGGCCAGGAAGCUCUAGCUAG